GCCGGAUUAGCUCAGGGGUAGAGCAGCGCUUUCGUAAAGCGAAGGUCGGGGGUUCGAACCCCUCAUUCGGCACCA
This 75-nucleotide transfer RNA is filed under the name Roseibium sp. RKSG952. RNAcentral's name for it is "tRNA-Thr". It matches the Rfam family "tRNA". Rfam says of the family: Transfer RNA (tRNA) molecules are approximately 80 nucleotides in length. Their secondary structure includes four short double-helical elements and three loops (D, anti-codon, and T loops). The record is from RNAcentral. Lineage: Bacteria; Pseudomonadati; Pseudomonadota; Alphaproteobacteria; Hyphomicrobiales; Stappiaceae.